Molecule: unclassified non-coding RNA, 564 nt
Filed under: Proteus mirabilis
Lineage: Bacteria; Pseudomonadati; Pseudomonadota; Gammaproteobacteria; Enterobacterales; Morganellaceae
Description: partial 16S-23S ribosomal RNA intergenic spacer
Rfam family: tRNA (bases 72-145)
Source: RNAcentral
CCUAAGAGAUACGUGUUAUGUGCAGUGCUCACACAGAUUGUCUGAUGAAGAACGAGCAGAGAUACCGGUAUAGGCUUGUAGCUCAGGUGGUUAGAGCGCACCCCUGAUAAGGGUGAGGUCGGUGGUUCAAGUCCACUCAGGCCUACCACUUUUCCUUUAUGCUGUGUUGUGAAGCAACUCGUUUACAUUAAGUAAACUUCGUUACUCCACGCCUUGCCUAAAGAAAAAGCUUCUUAUUAUAAGAAGAAAAAGGAGUGGUUAUACGGGUAUUAAAAUAUUAUGGGGCUAUAGCUCAGCUGGGAGAGCGCCUGCCUUGCGCGCAGGAGGUCAGCGGUUCGAUCCCGCUUAGCUCCUCCAUAAUCUCUUGAAUAUAAAACAAUGAUUCAGAGUAUAUUAGGAAUAGUAUACUGCGAAUUAUUAUGCUCUUUAACAAUCUGGAACAAGCUGAAAAAUUGAAAACAAAUCAAUAUAUCAACGAGGUAUAUUGGUGAGUCUCUCAAAAUCUCAAACCUUAAAGUUUGUCACGCAAAGUUUAUCUUUGAAAAAGACACUUUCGGGUUGUGA